GCGUGAAGGAUGAAGGUCUUCGGAUUGUAAACUUCUUUGAUUAGGGAAGAAUUUUUGACCUACCUAAAGAACAAGUCACGGCUAACUACGUGCCAGCAGCCGCGGUAAUACGUAGGUGACAAGCGUUAUCCGGAUUUACUGGGUGUAAAGGGCGUGUAGGCGGUUUUGCAAGUCAGAUGUGAAAUUCCCAGGCUUAACCUGGGCGCUGCAUCUGAAACUGCAAGACUUGAGUACUGGAGAGGAUAGUGGAAUUCCUAGUGUAGCGGUAAAAUGCGC
Molecule: ribosomal RNA, 276 nt
Filed under: uncultured bacterium
Lineage: Bacteria
Description: partial 16S ribosomal RNA
Rfam family: Bacterial small subunit ribosomal RNA
Source: RNAcentral